This is a long non-coding RNA of Arachis stenosperma, 399 nucleotides long. RefSeq lists it as uncharacterized. Lineage: Eukaryota; Viridiplantae; Streptophyta; Magnoliopsida; Fabales; Fabaceae. The transcript has 3 exons. The record is from RefSeq and is a predicted model, not a curated record.
GGUAGUAUAUUUUUUUCAUAACAAAAAAAAGUCUAUUGAUGUUACAUUUAGUCAAAAAAUGGAGUCUAGUAACUUUUACUUUUCAUGGCAUGAUAAGAGAAGUGUAGGAAAAAUGCUGUGAAUUGGUCGAAGUAGUUAUAUACUCACACUAGCGGAUCGAAAAGCUUAGCAAGGUCCGGAGAAAAAGAGUUGGAACGACAAGGACGUCCAGUUGGUAGAGAGGAGUUGUGGACCUUAACGCACAAAUGAUCCAAUGGCUCCUGUCUCCAUGAUGCAGCUCGGGCUAUUGGUGAAAGAAUUGCGAAGAUUGAGCAACAUGAUGAAUCAUCUAGACUGUUGUCUUAGAAUGAUUUGCUUGCUCAAGCUCUUAGAAAGGAACACCCGAGUAGAGUACGUGGC